This 459-nucleotide ribosomal RNA is filed under the name uncultured bacterium. RNAcentral describes it as "partial 16S ribosomal RNA". It matches the Rfam family "Bacterial small subunit ribosomal RNA", at positions 29 to 523 of the family's 1533-position model. The record is from RNAcentral.
AACGAACGCUGGCGGCAUGCCUAACACAUGCAAGUCGAACGGGAUCCUGGCUUCGGUCAGGUGAGAGUGGAGGACGGGUGAGUAACGCGUGGGAACCUGCCCAGUGGUGGGGGAUAACUGCGGGAAACUGCAGCAAAUACCGCAGGAGCCCGAGGGGGGAAAGCUGUUUUGACAUUGGAGGGGCCCGCGUUCGAUUAGGUAGUUGGUGGGGUAAUGGCCUACCAAGCCGACGAUCGAUAGCUGAUCUGAGAGGAUGAUCGGCCACACUGGGACUGAGAUACGGCCCAGACUCCUACGGGAGGCAGCAGUGGGGAAUAUUGGACAAUGGGGGCAACCCUGAUCCAGCAAUGCCGCGUGAGUGAUGAAGGCCUUCGGGUUGUAAAGCUCUUUUGCCAGGGACGAUGAUGACGGUACCUGGAGAAUAAGCACCGGCUGACUUCGUGCCAGCAGCCGCCGCCG